This 6188-nucleotide long non-coding RNA is filed under the name Brassica napus (rape). Its description in RNAcentral is "long non-coding RNA (BNAP_LNC020372)". The record is from RNAcentral. Lineage: Eukaryota; Viridiplantae; Streptophyta; Magnoliopsida; Brassicales; Brassicaceae.
UCCCGACUUCUCAUCCUCUUUCUUAACCGCCGGUCCUCCAGCUCCUCCUCCAUGGCUUCCGCUGACACCACCGUGACUGCCAGCACCGCCAGAGGAGUGAGAGUUGGAAGACUCGUACUUGUGGAGAAAAUUUUCAGCCUUUUCGAGGUACUGACCAACACCACUCUUUUCAUCAAGCUUGCCGUAUCUUUGAGCUGCGUCUAGUAUGUCGGCGGUGGCUCCGGCGACUUUAGCUUUGUCGAGUUUGUCUGUCUCGUUGCGAGAAGCGGCUUGAGCAGCCUCCGCUACGAUCUUGGCGCUAGCCAUGAGCUCGGCGUUUGUAGCUGGCUUAUGCAUUGUUGGAUCGGAGCUGGAAGCAGGUUUAUGUGUUGGAACGGUGUGGCCCGGUUUGUUAUUGUUGUGGUUCGGGUCAGGGUCUGAAGUUUCCGGUUUCUUGUCGGAGAAUUUCUUCUUUACUUGGUCGGUGAGGAAAUCCAUGUUUCUUGUCUCGUCUCAGACGAAAAAAGGUUGUUUUAGUUGAUCUUGAGUUUGGAAAAUGUAAAGUAACAAGUUAUUCGGGGAUGGUAUUUAUUGAAAGUGAGAAAGAUUAAUACUUUAUUCAUUGUCCACUAGUUUUAUUUUUGCCUCCGCUACUUAAUGGGGAUAAUUAUAGGCAUGAUCUUUCCACCACAACUUUAAAGAAAACGUAAUUAGCGUUUAUGGAUAUGGUCAAGAAGAGAGUCAAAUCAGUUCACAUUUCAUUGAUCCCUUACCCAAACAAAUAAACAAAACAAAUCCCCAAGUUCAUUGCCAUUUGUUUACCAUUUACCACAUGUUUACUUUCAGAGCCAUAUAUAUGGCCAUAACCCAAUAACACAUUUGUUUUAUCUCCAGAAUCUUAAAAUAUUUUAUAUAGAGACAUAAGCUACUAAACUGUUUAAUUCUUUUUUUUUCCUUACUUGGAGCCCAGAAUAUCAGAUCCGACCAUGUUUACUUAUACAAUUUAACACGUAAUUAUAGUAUUUAAGAGAAUGCCUUAUUUUGCUCCCUUGCCCUGAUGUCUGGUCUGAGUUCUUUCAUGUUGGCAAUGUGUACUUAUAGAGUUUAACACGUAAUUAUAGUAUUGUUAGAAAAUGAAUUAUAAUACUCCUUUUGUAUACAAAUUCAUGAUGUUUAAGAUUUCUCACACAUAUUAAGAAACAAUAAAUACAUUUUUCUAAUUAUUCAUUUUUGGUUUUAUCAACAAAAUUUCAUUUCUCAAAUUCUCGUAAUUUUACUUUUUAAUUUAUUUUUUAGUUUUAAAAAUAAUACAUUAAUUAUAUUAUAAAACAUCAAUCUUUUGUAUACAAGAUAAAAAAGGUUAAACACAAGAAUCUUCAAAAACUAUCAACUUUUACUAACAUGUAAGUGGGGAACUAAACUAACCUUUGGGUGUUUCACAUUGGGAGGCAAGAAUGGAUACAUCAAUGUCUCAAAGUUUGAUCUCCACCACAUCCCAAUGCAUUCUCCUACCUGCAUUUUAUUACAGUUUUGUAGUAUUAUAGAGAGACCAUUCUCAAGCCAAAAACAAUCAGAACAGUACUGAGGACAAGAAUCCAUGGUUCUUACCUCCAACCCGGAACAAGAACAUUCUCGUUAACCAAAAGCUUUGACGCGAGUUUGCGUUUCAGGCCUUCAAUAUCUAAGAAGAAACCAGAUUUCAGCAAUUGAGAUUUGAGCACAGAUAAAGAGGUUACAGUAAGAGUAAAAGUAAAACUUGAUUCACCAAGUCUCAAACGACCACUAGGAAGCUUGAAGAUGGAGUUUCUAUACUGAAGAAGCAAUACAUGAGGAUGCUUGAACAAUUCAACCUGAUGUAUCCCAAACUACAUUUUCCCAUGUAGUUUCCGAUCUAGUUUCAACCCAAAUCAACCCGAACCAAUCCCUAGACAAACCAACACCAAUCUGUCGCUAACCAAUGAGAAUACGCUACCAAAACCCAUACUGAAAUCGGUAAGGUUCAUCAGAUUUCGUACCUGAAGCGAGGUGGCUGGACUGGUUCCAAGUUGGAUAUUAUGGAUCUUGAGGCUUCUUGUUUCAGAGAAAGAAUUCAAAGCCAGAAAAAAUAUAUGAAAAUGACGAAGGCGACAAGACAGACGAGAUGAAACAAGGGAGAAUUUGCGAGAUAUCUGAGAUUGCAAAAAAAAUUACAUGUCAUUGAUUUUAACAUAAUGUAAUAACUAACAUUUAUGCCAUUCUACCUUUUCUUCCUUUAAUUAUCCAGUGACUUUGUUUUGUUAGAGAUGAUGUGGUCAAAAAAAUAUGGUGAAUAAGAUACUUAAAUAUGAUGUCAACAAAAUAAGAUGUGGCUAAAAUUUAGUGCACACUAUUGACAACGACAAUGUCAAAGUCAUCUACAUCACUGUUUUUUUACCUUUAAUUAGUAAAUCUAUACUGUAAUCAGUAAAUUAUAAACCAAAUAUAAUCUAUAACUAUUUUACUAUAUAUUUAAAAUUUAUCAGCCAUAGUUAUGAAACAUACAUAUUAAAUCAUACCCACCCACUUAAAUAUUAAACCCCAGACAAACCCACUAGUUACUAAAUCUAAACCCAAAUAUAAUCUUAACCAUAUGUUGCGAGUGUACAAUUAUAUCUCAGUGACAUAGUACAACACCCAAGAUGCGGUAAGAACUAUACAUAAUAAACCCACCCAAGAUCGCUGACUACUAUACCCAAACCCUUACUUAGUAAAUCUAAACCCUAACCAGGAACCUAUAAACUCAAAUACAAUCUAUAAACUAUUUUUCAAUAUUAGACAAUCUAAACCCUAACAAGGAACCUAUAACAUGGCAAAUUAUUACAUAUUUAAGAAAUAGUAUAGAACUAUUGUCUCAAAUAGUAUAGAAAUAUUGUCACAAAUUGACUUUGUAAAUGCUUUAGAGAAGUUUUGAUCAUUACGAAUAAACCAAUAUAGUAUAUUACACUAAUAUAAGAGUUUAUAUGCUAUCUAACCAAAUUUGACUACUAUACCCACCCACUUAAAUAUUUAACCCUAGACAAACUCUCUAGUUACUAAAUCUAAACCCAAAUAACUUAACUAUAAACCCAAAUAGAAUCUAUAUAAUAUGCUGCCAAUUUUCUCAACGUAGACGGCAUAGUAUGAACCUUUAUAAAUAGUAUAGAAUGACUGACUCACACCCAACUUUAAAUAUUAAACUCUAAACAGUUAUCACUAAACCCAAGACUCAACCCUCACCUUUCAAAUACUAAACCCUAAAUCUUAAUCACAAAAUCCUAAACCAUACCACCCAUUUAAAUAUUAAACCCUAAACGAACUCCCUAGUUACUAAAAUCUAAACCCAAAUAUAAUCUUAACCAUAGGUUCUGAGUGUACAAUUCUAUCUCAGUGACAUAGUACAACACCCAAACUGCGGUAAGAACUAUACAUAAUUAAUCCACCCAAAAUUACUGACUACUAUACCUAAACCCCUACUUAGUAAAUCUAAACUCUAACCAGGAACCUAUAAACCCAAAUACAAUCUAUAAGUUGUUUUCUAAUAUUACACAAAUUAAACCCUAAUUAGGAACUUGUAACAUGGCAGAUUAUUACAUAUAUAAGAAAUAUGAUAGAACUAUUGUCUCAGGUAGUAUAGAAUUAUUGUCUCAAAUUGACUUUGUAAAUGCUUUAGAGAAGUUUUGAUCAUUGCGAAUAAACUAAUAUAGUAUAGAAUAUAGUAUAGUAUAGUACCCUAAUAUAAGGGUUUAUUUGCUCUCUAACCAAAUUUGGUUUUAAUCAUUACACAUAAACCAAUAUAGUAUGAAUUGCAUAUUACAACCAAUCACACAAAAUGACAGAGAAAAGAACUAUCAAAUUUGAAGACAUGACAAAUUAUUACAUUUUAGAGAAUAGUAUAGAAAUACGUCUCAAAUAGUAUGGUACAUGUAUAUAAAGCUACAUUAAAGAAUCGAUACUUAACUAUUUUUUUCAUCGAAUAUAGUAUAGACGGCGAGUUCAUCUUCUUCAAUUCAUUUUUUUUUCACAGGCUGAUACACAUUCACUUGAAUCGCCGUCAUUAUUCUUCACCACCAUAUAGAGAUCAUCUUCAUUUCCUCUCUCUUUUUCGACACGGCGACACUUUUACCGAUCCGCCGUCGUUAUUCUUCACCACUCUAUAUGUAAAGCAUCAUGGAUAUAACCCUGAUGCGAUAAUCUCAAUCUCAUUUGCAAGAUUCAAAAACGAAAACAAAGUAUGAAAGCAAAAACAUGAUUAUGAAACUAAAAAUCAAUGAUUUAAGAGAAAGAGAAAAAUAAAUGAAAGAGUUGGUGUGUCUACUCACCGUGUAUGCCUUAACAGUUGUCUCUUAUUUAUCACAAUUGGUUGUCCUUCUUGUGAGAAGAAAUCAAUUCCAGAAUAAAUCUGGGAAGAAGACUUUUAUCUUUUGCAAAGUCACCAAAAUAAAUUACAUAUGAAAGAAUGUGUUUUUCAAAGGGCCACAAGUUAUGUUUUAGUAUUAUUAUUAUUAAAUCAAUUUAUUUUUUUUCUUACAUGUUUCACCGGUUGCAUGUGAGGGGCAAUAUGUCAAUAUUUUAUAUAAGAGGCAAGUUGUAUAGAUGAGUUAGGGGUUUUAGAUAGUGAAUGAAUUAUAAUUUGUUUGAAGGUUAUAGAGCCCAAUUUCCCAUGAAAGAAGAGUAAAAGAUUUUAAAAAAAAAAUUAAAUUAUAGGAUAAGAUCCAUUUGUAUCGGGCUUGGGUGGGUAACCCAUAGUACUGUGGUUGGGUUGGUAAUUCUGAAGAUUCAUUAAGGGAUUUAUUGUAUUUAGAUGUGUUUUGGAUUUAAAAGAAAAUCAAAAGUUAAAUACUUUUAUAAGAGGGACAUAUUAGAUAUUUUUAAGAACACUUGGGGUAUAUGGAGUUAAAAGUUCAUUUCACAUAAUUUUACCUUUUAAUUUAUUUUUUAGUUUUAAAAAUAAUACAUUAAUUAUAUUAUAAAUGGAUGAUUGCAUAAAACCCCCUGUAAAUACCAUCACCCUAUCUAUUCCCACCUAUACUAUCAAGCUCUUUACCAAACCACUGAUGCUAAAGAAGAAGCAACUAUCAUGUUCGAGGACGAAGCAUAUUCUGCCCAAGAUCUUCAUCACCCACAGAUUUCAGAAAAUUGGAGAGGUCCAAGGGAUCUUCAGUAAUGUCCAAAUCAGGGGGAGUAAUGUGUAUUGUACUUUUUUUCCUUCACCAUGGUUUUGUCCCAAUUGGAUUUUCCUGGUAAUGUUUUAAUAAGGCAACAUUAAAGCACAUUACAAGCUCUAAAUGGUUAUGACAUCCAAUGGAGAGUGUUAUGAACCAGAUUGUGUAUUGCUCAUAACCAAGAGAUUAUGAUUUGUAAUCUUUCUAUUUAUCUAUGACGAUGUAAUUUUCUAUAUAACGAAUCUCUAUGUUAUGAAUAAAGAUAAACUUUUUCAUUAUUUUUAUAACAUAAUUUAAGUUUUAUGUUUGAUUUUGAGUUUAGAUGUCUCCAUCAUAACUUUUGUGAAAACCCUAAAAAGAGAAUCAGAUCUGGAUAAACCAAUUCUAUCUGAAUAUAAUUCUGGUUUUGGUUUACCUUCGGAUGCUGGUUUUUAAACAUCUUAAGAUCAUCUCUAGUUUUACAAAGUUAAUGGCUUCCCAUGAGUAAUGAGAACUAAUCAAAGCUAAUAUUUUAUUUUACAUGAUCCAUCAGUUAACAAAUUCAAAACUGACAACUUAUAUUUAAUAGUAACCAUGGAAGAUAAUAUAUCACUACCAUAAUUAUUUAUUUGUUGAUCUACUAAUUAAACAUUAAUCACUUCAUGAAACCUUGAGCCAUCUUAGCAUAGUCUCCUAACCCAUGGCUGCCACCUCCCGACUUCUCAUCCUCUUUCUUAACCGCCGGUCCUCCAGCUCCUCCUCCAUGGCUUCCGCUGACACCACCGUGACUGCCAGCACCGCCAGAGGAGUGAGAGUUGGAAGACUCGUACUUGUGGAGAAAAUUUUCAGCCUUUUCGAGGUACUGACCAACACCACUCUUUUCAUCAAGCUUGCCGUAUCUUUGAGCUGCGUCUAGUAUGUCGGCGGUGGCUCCGGCGACUUUAGCUUUGUCGAGUUUGUCUGUCUCGUUGCGAGAAGCGGCUUGAGCAGCCUCCGCUACGAUCUUGGCGCUAGCCAUGAGCUCGGCGUUUGUAGCUGGCUUAUGCAUUGUUGGAUCGGAGCUGGAAGCAG